This is a non-coding RNA of Bos taurus (domestic cattle), 72 nucleotides long. Lineage: Eukaryota; Metazoa; Chordata; Mammalia; Artiodactyla; Bovidae. The record is from Rfam.
UCCCUGGUGGCUCAGAUGGUAAAGCGCCUGUCUGCAACGUGGGAGACCCAGGUUUGAUCCCUGGGUUGGGAA